Molecule: unclassified non-coding RNA, 350 nt
Filed under: plant metagenome
Description: partial contains 5.8S ribosomal RNA, internal transcribed spacer 2, and large subunit ribosomal RNA
Rfam family: 5.8S ribosomal RNA (bases 1-105)
Source: RNAcentral
GAAAUGCGAUAAGUAAUGUGAAUUGCAGAAUUCAGUGAAUCAUCGAAUCUUUGAACGCACCUUGCGCUCCUUGGUAUUCCGAGGAGCAUGCCUGUUUGAGUGUCAUGGAAUUCUCAACUCUAUUUGCUUUUGUGAAUAGAGCUUGGAUUUGGAGGUUUAUUGCUGGUACUUGUGAUCGGCUCCUCUUGAAUGCAUUAGCUCGAACCUUUGCGGAUCAGCUAUCGGUGUGAUAAUUGUCUACGCCGUUGCAGUGAAGCAUAUCAAUGGGCUCGGCUUCCAAUCGUCCUUUACUGGACAAUGACUUUGACCUUUGACCUCAAAUCAGGUAUGAUUACCCGCUGAACUUAAGC